RNAcentral lists this ribosomal RNA (468 nucleotides) under uncultured bacterium. RNAcentral describes it as "partial 16S ribosomal RNA". It matches the Rfam family "Bacterial small subunit ribosomal RNA", at positions 28 to 507 of the family's 1533-position model. The record is from RNAcentral.
GACGAACGCUGGCGGCGUGCUUAACACAUGCAAGUCGAACGGAAAGGCCCUGCUUUUGUGGGGUGCUCGAGUGGCGAACGGGUGAGUAACACGUGAGUAACCUGCCCUUGACUUUGGGAUAACUUCAGGAAACUGGGGCUAAUACCGGAUAGGAGCUCCUGCUGCAUGGUGGGGGUUGGAAAGUUUCGGCGGUUGGGGAUGGACUCGCGGCUUAUCAGCUUGUUGGUGGGGUAGUGGCUUACCAAGGCUCUGACGGGUAGCCGGCCUGAGAGGGUGGCCGGCCACAUUGGGACUGAGAUACGGCCCAGACUCCUACGGGAGGCAGCAGUGGGGAAUAUUGCACAAUGGGCGGAAGCCUGAUGCAGCAACGCCGCGUGCGGGAUGACGGCCUUCGGGUUGUAAACCGCUUUCGCCUGUGACGAAGCGUGAGUGACGGUAAUGGGUAAAGAAGCACCGGCUAACUACGUG